GCUAACAGCGAUAGCACGCUGAAUGCACCAGUUCAGAAUGGAUCACUGAAGUUAAGCAACGUUGCUCUUGGUUAGUAUCCGGAUGGGUCAUGACCAUGUGGGCAGUCGCUUGAUACUAGCA
RNAcentral lists this ribosomal RNA (121 nucleotides) under Diaphorina citri (Asian citrus psyllid). The record is from RNAcentral. Lineage: Eukaryota; Metazoa; Arthropoda; Insecta; Hemiptera; Psyllidae.